Molecule: long non-coding RNA, 1179 nt
Organism: Brassica oleracea var. oleracea
Lineage: Eukaryota; Viridiplantae; Streptophyta; Magnoliopsida; Brassicales; Brassicaceae
Exons: 7
Source: RefSeq, a predicted model, not a curated record
CAUUUGUUUUGUAUAUUCAUUUCUGGCCCAUUCAAAUUUAGGGCACCGUCUGAAUCUCUGAAAACGUUUGCUGGAACCUCCGGACUCCUCUGGCCAGCUCAACGUAACGUUUCCAGUUUUGCAUUAAUAAGUUCUUCAUUCCGAGAUUUAACUUCAUUACCCCCCACUCAUCCCACUCUCAAGCACUCAAUCGGACACAUCCUAUCCCAGCGUAACUGACGAAAGGUUCGACUAUAAAUCUUCGAUCUCCCGCCGAUGAACAACACAACUUCAACCAAAUCGAGAAGAGGAUCUUGAUUCUGUGAUUUGUUGAGGAUCUCUUAGAUAUGUCCAUGGCCCCAAAAACGGCUAAAGCAUUUUUUAUAAAUAGUGGAUCAUGAGCCCAAUGAUACACAGGUCAAUCUGGUUUGGUAUAUACAACAACGCACUUGGAAGGCCUGAGAAGAAGAAAUUUAUCGCGAGAAAGAAAUCGUACCAUAGCUCCAUUUUAAUAUCAGCAAGUUUGUCCAGUCUCCCAGUGCUGCAUCAAACUUUGAUUUACCUGCACCAUUUGUGUGGCACACAGACUGCCCUCAUUAUUGCCGUUUUCAUCUUCCAGGCGAAAAUAAAGAGGAUUUCUCAAUAAGAUUAGCCAAGAAUUUAGAGGAUCUUAUCAUUACAGAGGGACCAGAAACUGUGAGCAAUCUUCUAUAAUCACACUCUUGUCUUGGACCAGUGAGUGUUGUGCUUUCUAUUUCUGACCUUGAUUUUGCAUAAUGAGAACUGCAGUUUCAUGGAUACCAAAAGGGGCUUCAAAGGCCAUGCUGAUCCUCCUUCUAAGAUCAAAGAGCUGAUCGAGAAUGGCACUCAAGAAAAGGUGAAUUAUUUUCCCUUUCCAUCUUCUACUGGACUUUUGUAAAACUCACCCUUUGAUUUGUGGUUACAUGUACAACAUAUGCUAUCUGAGUGUGACAUGGAUGGAGCGUGAAAUACAUAGUGGUGAAGUUCCUCAUGCCAAGGCUGUAGCCAAAUAUUUUGAAAAAACAUGUGCCAAAAGCAAGUUUACAAUUCUAAGCACUGUAAAUUUUCCAACUAUGAAAGCAAUAUCCCAUGAUUUUUAUAUUGUGUGGCCACGAAUAUAAGUUUAUGUUUUAUAUCUCAUCAGAAAAUUCGAUUAUAUACUAUGUGUUCGGUAUUGUU